UACAGAGGGCCCGAGCGUUGUUCGGAUUUAUUGGGCGUAAAGGGUGCGUAGGCGGCGGAGUAAGUUGGGUGUGAAAUCCCGAGGCUCAACCUCGGAAUUGCAUUCAAUACUGCUUCGCUCGAGUACUGGAGAGGAGGCUGGAAUUUACGGUGUAGCAGUGAAAUGCGUAGAUAUCGUAAGGAAGGCCGGUGGCGAAAGCGAGCCUCUGGACAGUUACUGACGCUGAUGCACGAAGGCCAGGGGAGCAAACGGG
RNAcentral lists this ribosomal RNA (253 nucleotides) under uncultured bacterium. RNAcentral's name for it is "partial 16S ribosomal RNA". It matches the Rfam family "Bacterial small subunit ribosomal RNA", at positions 524 to 776 of the family's 1533-position model. The record is from RNAcentral.